This is a non-coding RNA of Podarcis lilfordi (Lilford's wall lizard), 1044 nucleotides long. NCBI's taxonomy places the organism in Eukaryota, Metazoa, Chordata, Lepidosauria, Squamata, Lacertidae. The record is from the annotation of a GenBank genome assembly.
CCUGUCUAAAGUAGUAUGAUACAGUACUGCGUUAAAUAUAUAGUGCAGCUUGGGGCCUUAGUCGUGUCCAUUAAUUCCAAUGGGCCCAUUCUGAGUAUGACUCACAUGGGAUAUAACCCAUUGUCUCUCAAUGCAACCUACCUCUCAGGGUUGUUUUGAGGAUAAAAUGGGGGGGGGGGGCUAUGUACAUCGCUUUGAGAAAGGUGGAGUGUGUAAACAUAUUCCCUCAAACUGUGCAGUGAGUUUCUCCAAAAGAGGGAGGACUCUGAGGCCCUUCCUCUUCCUGUCAGAUGUUUGCUUCCAAGGUGCCAGGUAAGAGCCCAUUGGGCUUCCUUCUCUUCAGGCUUCCAGGUUCACCUCCUGAAUUCCUAGUAAUCCUGCCAGGCUGGACAUAAUUUGUUUGUCUUCUGCGCCAGGUCAGGUCAGAACAGUCAGCUCUGAUAAGAUUAAAUAAUCACACACCAGGUUGUGGAUUUUGGCUGAUGGGAUGUGAGGGGGGGUGUGGGGUUAUGCUGUGUUAUCUGAGAGACAUCCCUCCCUCCCUCCCUCCGCCAUCACAAUUUCCUCUCAGCAAGCUUAUUUAUUUAUUUGAUAUAUUUAUGUCCCACCUUUCUUCCCAGUUGGGCUUCAGGUUUUAGCAUGGGGAGCUGCAAAUGGAAGUAUUCCGUGAUCCAGGAUGCAAAUAUAACUGGUAGUGAUAUUGCAGACAUCCAAAUAUUGUGCAUAGGAUGGCUGAUGCCACGAGAAGAAUGCAUCCUGCAGUGGCGAUAAAUGCAUACAUGGACAAGAGCUUAUUUCACAGUAUAAUAGUUAGUCUUUAAUAUGCCACAGGACUUUUUGACAGUUUCACUGUGGAAUCCUUACAUUUUUUGAAAGUGUGUUAGGGAUGGACGAAUCUCCCACUUUAGUUUCUCUGUUUCUUUCCCCCCGCCCCCCAGCUUUAAACACACACCAUUGCUGCAUCAGUUUGUGAUUUUUUAUUUUAAAAGGUCUGUAAUUAUAAUGUGCAUUUUCUUGUUCAGUUUUGCCUAGUGCUGUACACAC